Molecule: non-coding RNA, 688 nt
Organism: Peromyscus maniculatus bairdii (prairie deer mouse)
Lineage: Eukaryota; Metazoa; Chordata; Mammalia; Rodentia; Cricetidae
Source: RefSeq, a predicted model, not a curated record
UCCCAGAGUUGUUGCUACACAUUUACCUACAUUGUUGUUGCCAAAACCCAGGACCAAACCCAAAGAGUGGCAUACAAUUUACUUCCAGCUAUUCUGACUCUAGGCCAGCAGAGGCAGGCUGUUUAGAUGAUGGGAGUUGGAGGUACAUUGAGCUCUCUAAGUAGGUUUGCUGAAAUAGCUAUCUGAGAAUUUACUUAGUGUCUACUCCACAGGUGUGUACCCUCCAGAAACUGUGAAGAUGUUUCUCCUGUAUUCAAAAACAAAUUCUCCAUGAUCAGACCUGUGACAAUGGAGACGAAAAUAACAUCAUGAACAGUUUUGAGGAUGGGACUCAACAUCAUGAUAGAUUUAUGAACUCCCCAAAGGAAUAUCUAUGUGUCACUAAAAGGAAGCAGAAUAUUCUUUGUCCACAUGUCAUUCCUGUCCACAUUUGAGGUUCUGAAUUUGGGAAGAGUUCAGAGACACGAUUUUGUGCAAAGACAUACCCUGAAGAUGCAGCCUACCAGAAACACAAACCUUGUAUAAAAUGAAUUAAUGAUGACAGAGUGGACCUAACAUUGAAACCACAGGGCUUAAAAGAAUGAAUACCUAUUCUUCAUGAUCUCUUCUGUGAUAAAGAUAAGGUCACUAACCAUAUAACUAUUGAUGGAGAAGACAUAUAAGGGCAGAACAUGGUCACCAAACUCAA